GAUGAACGCUGGCGGCAUGCCUAAUACAUGCAAGUCGAGCGAACGGACGAGAAGCUUGCCUCUCUGAUGUUAGCGGCGGACGGGUGAGUAACACGUGGAUAACCUACCUAUAAGACUGGGAUAACUUCGUGAAACCGGAGCUAAUACCGGAUAAUAUUUUGAACCGCAUGGUUCAAAAGUGAAAGACGGUCUUGCUGCCACUUAUAGAUGGAUCCGCGCUGCAUUAGCUAGUUGGUAAGGUAACGGCUUACCAAGGCAACGAUGCAUAGCCGACCUGAGAGGGUGAUCGGCCACACUGGAACUGAGACACGGUCCAGACUCCUACGGGAGGCAGCAGUAGGGAAUCUUCCGCAAUGGGCGAAAGCCUGACGGAGCAACGCCGCGUGAGUGAUGAAGGUCUUCGGAUCGUAAAACUCUGUUAUUAGGGAAGAACAUAUGUGUAAGUAACUGUGCACAUCUUGACGGUACCUAAUCAGAAAGCCACGGCUAACUACGUG
RNAcentral lists this ribosomal RNA (497 nucleotides) under uncultured bacterium. Its description in RNAcentral is "partial 16S ribosomal RNA". It matches the Rfam family "Bacterial small subunit ribosomal RNA", at positions 28 to 507 of the family's 1533-position model. The record is from RNAcentral.